CGCUUUAAGUGCGAAAAAGGCACAACUGGCUCAAGCCAACAAUGGUGGGUGGAACAACAAAAAAGGGAGCUCAAGUGGAGUCUCGUGGUCUUACAAGGCACUGCGAGGUAGCGGAAUGGGACCUGUAAUGAAGUAUCUUAGAUCUCAGAAAGAGAUAUGAGAAACUAGGCUUAAAUCUUUAAAACUCUCAUUUGGGGGACGUGAAGAAGAGAAACCAUUUUGUUUUGAUGAGGUGUAGGCAUGGCUGAGUUUUCGUUCGGGUAAGGGUUUUAUUAUGUAUAGAGAAAAACGAUGGAUGUUACUCUCCUUCCACGAUCAUUUUAUUUUUAUGUCGAUCAUAUCUAUUUUUUGAGUUCCAUGUUGCUUCUGAUAGAAAACCCUGUGAAAUGGAACAAGCUCAAAAACAUUAAAAAGAAACCGACUUCACUGGGGAUCGAACCCAGAAUCUCUGGUUUCGUAGACAAGCGCCUUAUCCAUUGGGCCAUGAAGUCUUUUUGUUCUUUCUAUCAAUGUAUAAGAUAUUUAUAUAAUAAACUAUUUGGAACUUCCAAAGAUAACUUGACCUAUCGGGCCAUGGAGUCGUAAGAUGUAGCCAUUCGACGGCGAAAGCAAUUUACCAAAUACUUCGAUCCUGAGCCCAUGAGUUGCAGUCUUAGGACUAGCCCAAAUAAACCACGUGUGUCAGAUCCAGACUUCCAGUGACUGAAAGAAAGCCUUUAUUGUCUUCACAAGCCAGCCAGCCAGCUAAAAAAGUCAACUUUGUUUUGACCUACAUUCCCGUAAGUCGCGUUACAUGCGAUCAAUUCAAACACACUUCGCUGUUCUGUUCCUUUUUCAGUCCAAAGUUAUCUCUUCCUUUUGAUUCUUCUAUUUAAAUCCUUUGUCCUUUACUAUCUUUUCUUUUUCACUUAUCUCUCUCUCCACUCUUUAACCCUGCCCAGCUAAAACAAAAAUUCUCAGUCAAACAAAAUUCAUCAGAAUUUUUCAAAGACGACGGCUUCUUUUAAAUUAAUCGAAGUUGAUCAUUCGUCUCCACUCUCCUUAGUAUUUGGUUUUAUUUACAUCUUUUUAAGUUUCUCUAACGAUCUUUGCUUGCUCCGUUACUUGUAAAAUAUUCUCUCUUUCUAGUCUCGUUUAUUUAAUUACACAGCUUUUAACGUGUAGUCUUUCGACUUCUGUUACAGAGAGUGAGGAGAGAUCUUUAUUUAUGUCCAAAUCUGAUUCGUCGUCUCUAGCUUCCCUCAAAUAGCUCCAAGUUUUAUGCUUUUGCUCACUUUCUGGUAAGUAACAGCUUUUUUCUGUUCAAUUAGUAUCACUUCUUCUAAUAGAUCUGAUUUCAUUUUGUUAUCGUUUGGAUUUGGGUUUUAGUAGUGCUCGAAUAUAUUCCAAUUAGUUCACACAUCUUUCCCUUGCCAAAAGCAAUUGCAUCAGAUUCAUAUUUUAUUAAACUCAUGUUGUUUCUGAAUGGGACCUGUAAUGAAGUAUCUUAGAUCUCAGAAAGAGAUAUGAGAAACUAGGCUUAAAUCUUUAAAACUCUCAUUUGGGGGACGUGAAGAAGAGAAACCAUUUUGUUUUGAUGAGGUGUAGGCAUGGCUGAGUUUUCGUUCGGGUAAGGGUUUUAUUAUGUAUAGAGAAAAACGAUGGAUGUUACUCUCCUUCCACGAUCAUUUUAUUUUUAUGUCGAUCAUAUCUAUUUUUUGAGUUCCAUGUUGCUUCUGAUAGAAAAC
Molecule: long non-coding RNA, 1727 nt
Filed under: Brassica napus (rape)
Lineage: Eukaryota; Viridiplantae; Streptophyta; Magnoliopsida; Brassicales; Brassicaceae
Description: long non-coding RNA (BNAP_LNC004885)
Source: RNAcentral